AGCGAACGCUGGCGGCAGGCUUAACACAUGCAAGUCGAGCGGGCCCUUCGGGGUCAGCGGCAGACGGGUGAGUAACACGUGGGAACGUACCCUUUGGUUCGGAAUAACGCUGGGAAACUAGCGCUAAUACCGGAUACGCCCUUUUGGGGAAAGGCUUGCUGCCGAAGGAUCGGCCCGCGUCUGAUUAGCUAGUUGGUGGGGUAAUGGCCUACCAAGGCGACGAUCAGUAGCUGGUCUGAGAGGAUGAUCAGCCACACUGGGACUGAGACACGGCCCAGACUCCUACGGGAGGCAGCAGUGGGGAAUAUAGGACAAUGGGCGCAAGCCUGAUCCAGCCAUGCCGCGUGAGUGAUGAAGGCCUUAGGGUUGUAAAGCUCUUUUGUCCGGGACGAUAAUGACGGUACCGGAAGAAUAAGCCCCGGCUAACUUCGUG
Molecule: ribosomal RNA, 433 nt
Filed under: uncultured bacterium
Lineage: Bacteria
Description: partial 16S ribosomal RNA
Rfam family: Bacterial small subunit ribosomal RNA
Source: RNAcentral